GACGAACGCUGGCGGCGUGCUUAACACAUGCAAGUCGAACGGAAAGGCCCUGCUUGCAGUGUGCUCGAGUGGCGAACGGGUGUGUAACACGUGUGUGCUCUGCCCCUUACUUUGGGAUAAGCCUGGGAAACUGGGUCUAAUACUGGAUAGGACCAUGCUGUAGGUGGUGUGGUGGAAAGAUUAGUUUCGGUAAGGGAUGUGCUCGCGGCCUAUCAGCUUGUUGGUGGGGUAGUGGCCUACCAAGGCGUCGGCGGGUAGCCGGCCUGAGAGGGUGGACGGCGACAUUGUGACUGAGAGACGGCCCAGACUCCUACGGGGGGCAGCAGUGGGGAGUAUAGCGCAAUGGGCGCAAGCCUGAUGCAGCGACGCCGCGUGGGGGAUGACGGCCUUCGGGUGGUAAACUCCGUUCAGCCAUGACGAGGCGCUUGUGGUGACGGUAGUGGUAGAAGAAGCACCGGCUAACUACGUG
RNAcentral lists this ribosomal RNA (469 nucleotides) under uncultured bacterium. RNAcentral describes it as "partial 16S ribosomal RNA". It matches the Rfam family "Bacterial small subunit ribosomal RNA", at positions 28 to 507 of the family's 1533-position model. The record is from RNAcentral.